GGAAAUCUCACCAGGCCCGGACACUGGAAGGAUUGACAGAUUGAUAGCUCUUUCUUGAUUCGGUGCGUGGUGGUGCAUGGCCGUUCUUAGUUGGUUGAGUGAUUUGUCUUGUUAAUUCCGAUAACGAACGAGACCUUAACCUGCUAAAUAGUGACGCGGUUCAUCGAACCGUGGGCCACUUCUUAGAGGGACUAUCGGAUUCAAACCGAUGGAAGUGUGAGGCAAUAA
Molecule: ribosomal RNA, 228 nt
Filed under: uncultured eukaryote
Lineage: Eukaryota
Description: partial 18S ribosomal RNA
Rfam family: Eukaryotic small subunit ribosomal RNA
Source: RNAcentral